Molecule: long non-coding RNA, 1482 nt
Filed under: Elaeis guineensis (African oil palm)
Lineage: Eukaryota; Viridiplantae; Streptophyta; Magnoliopsida; Arecales; Arecaceae
Description: long non-coding RNA (EGUI_LNC015057)
Source: RNAcentral
ACAAUGAUUUAUAAUCACUAACUUCAAAAAUUAUCUUCUAUUGAUCAUAUUCUUGUUUAUAUGAUCAAGCUUAAAUUGCCAAAGGUAGGCUACCAUGACAUAAUCUACUUUAGGAGUUUGAUUGAUGUGUACAGCACACUAACAGGCCGUGACUAUUUGUAAAUACCAUUUCUCAAUUAUCUACAUGAUUUUAAUAUUGUUCAUAAUGAUAUCACAAAAUCAUUAGACAAUAGUGACAAUCACUAAAACGAUAUUGUUAGAAUUGAAAAUAGGCUUGAUGAUUUCUAAAACAAAGAUUGGAACAUAACUUUCAUCUCCAACAUUCAGGAUGGUACCGGCCUCGGAGAAUAUAGGAGAUUAGUGUCUGGGGUUGAAUCAUGGCCCGAUUGUGGGCUCGAAGAUCGCCGUCGGGCCGACUGCUGGGCCCUAGGAUGACUCUGAUGAGUCAGCUCCUCUCUAGACUUCAAGGAGGCGCCUGUAGCUCUAGUUGAGGUGGUGGUUGUGGAGCCGCAAUUGAAGCAAAGUUCUAUAGAGGCGCCACUGCGGAAGGCACAGGCGGCACCACUAAGAGAACCAUGUCACGCACCACCGUGGGGGGUGCAGAGACAGCCUGGAGAGGCUGUGGCGCCACUUGGAAGGGCACAAGAAAGAUCGGACCGCCUGAAUUGCGGUCGUCAGAUGUUGAACUUGCUGAGAGAGCUGACCAAAUUGGUCGGCCGUGACUGGUGCUGGGAGGACUGGUUGAGCCGAUGGAGGGACUUUCGAUACCAGUGAUUGAACUUGAUUAUCAGCUUGGCUGGCCGCCUGUCGGGAAGCGACGAUAUUGAAAAGCUGGGAAGAUGACCAUCUUGGAGCCAUCAAUGCGAAUGUUUGCCCCUUCCUUUAUCUGUUGCUGCUCAAAUUGGUCGAGGCCGGAAGACGGAUGUUUGAGGUCGAAAAUCAGAUGUCUGGUCCUAGUAUAGAGAUGCUGGUGCUGAAGAGACCUACAAAACAAGUCCCAAAUCGGAGGUUGUGGCUCUGACGAGGACCCUCCGAUGCUCAAGUUAGAAAAGUAGAGAACAAAGGAGUAGCAAUUGGUUCUCUGAGAGGGAUUCAAUUUGGCUUACCUGGGUCUUCGGAGCUCUGGUUGUUUAUAUAGAAGGAUAUCGGACAGCUGAUUGUCCGGUCAUUGAAAUUGCCAUAGUGGGUGAGAUAAUUCAGCUCUUGAUAGCUCCCGUAAAAUUCGGAGAGACUGUUACAUUGUAUUUUUAUCUGUUUAGGAUGGACAGCAAUCGCAUACAAUGAAGGGAUAAAUCGGCUGAGGCAGCUUAUGUACAGGUCGAACUUCGCGGACGCCUCAGCUCAGCAGGAAGAUUGAUUCUUCAGCUUAUACAACAAUCAACAGUUAUAUUGACGACCCAAGAGUCUGAAAUGCUUUGCAAUGCAAUGCCGAUCCAAAGUGCUUAUGGUAUCGCCGUAACACUUUCCAAUCUUGCCGUCCAC